RNAcentral lists this ribosomal RNA (440 nucleotides) under uncultured bacterium. RNAcentral describes it as "partial 16S ribosomal RNA". It matches the Rfam family "Bacterial small subunit ribosomal RNA", at positions 338 to 795 of the family's 1533-position model. The record is from RNAcentral.
CCUACGGUAGGCAGCAGUGGGGGAUAUUGCACAAUGGAGGGAACUCUGAUGCAGCGACGCCGCGUGAGGGAAGAAGGUUUUCGGAUUGUAAACCUCUGUCUUCGGUGACGAAACGAGACGGUAGCCGAGGCGGAAGCCACGGCUAACUACGUGCCAGCGGCCGCGUUACUACGGAGGUGGCACGCGUUGUCCGGAAUUACUGGGUGUAAAGGGAGCGUCGGCGGGAAAGCAAGUUGAAUGUUUAAGGUACGGGCUCAACCUGUACAAGCGUUCAAAACUGUUUUUCUUGAGUGGAGUAUAGGUAAGGGGAAUGCCUGGUGUAGCGGUGAAAUGCGUAAAUAUUAGGAGGAACACCAGUGGCGAAGGCGGCUUACUGGGCUUUAAUUGACGCUGAGGCUCGAAAGCGUGGGUAGCAAAUAGGAUUAGAUACCCGUGUAGUC